CAGGUGUUGCAUGGCUGUCGUCAGCUCGUUUCGUGAGAUGUUGGGUUAAGUCCCCGCAACGAGCGCAACCCUUGUCGUUAGUUGCCAGCGGUUCGGCCGGGCACUCUAACGAGACUGCCGGUGUUAAACCGGAGGAAGGUGGGGAUGACGUCAAGUCCUCAUGGCCCUUAUGCCCAGGGCUACACACGUGCUACAAUGACCGGUACAAAGGGUUGCAAACCCGCGAGGGCAAGCCAAUCCCAAAAAACCGGCCUCAGUUCAGAUUGAAGUCUGCAACUCGACUUCAUGAAGUCGGAAUCGCUAGUAAUCGCGGAUCAGCACGCCGCGGUGAAUACGUUCCCGGGCCUUGUACACACCGCCCGUCACACCACGGGAGUCGGUUGGUCCCGAAGUGCGUGAGCUAACCCGCAAGGGAGGCAGCGUCCUAAGGAAUGGCCGGUGACUGGGGUGAAGUCGUAACAAGUGUAGCCGUAUGGGAACC
Molecule: ribosomal RNA, 481 nt
Filed under: uncultured bacterium
Lineage: Bacteria
Description: bacterial SSU rRNA
Rfam family: Bacterial small subunit ribosomal RNA
Source: RNAcentral